RNAcentral lists this ribosomal RNA (237 nucleotides) under Triticum aestivum (bread wheat). RNAcentral's name for it is "partial small subunit ribosomal RNA". Lineage: Eukaryota; Viridiplantae; Streptophyta; Magnoliopsida; Poales; Poaceae. The record is from RNAcentral.
AUGACGGUGCUGUGCCGGAACUACCGGGAUCUAGGCCACCCCAGAACAGUUCGAGAGCUUGUGUGCCUUGUUUGCACCUACAGCCCCACUGUCGUGUUCAUCUCAGAGACAAUGCAGUGUGAAGAGAGCGUGAAAAGAAUAAGAGCGAGGAUAGGUCUGCAAAAUUGUAUCACCCAUGACGGGGUAGGCAAAGGUGCCGUUAUAUUGCCCUAUUUUGGGACCAUAGCAUUGAAAUAA